This 31-nucleotide ribosomal RNA is filed under the name uncultured fungus. Its description in RNAcentral is "partial 5.8S ribosomal RNA". The record is from RNAcentral. Lineage: Eukaryota; Fungi.
AAACUUUCAACAACGGAUCUCUUGGUUCUGA